CCUACGGGAGGCAGCAGUGGGGGAUAUUGCACAAUGGGGGAAACCCUGAUGCAGCGACGCCGCGGGGGUGAAGAAGUAUUUCGGUAGGUAGAGCCCUAUCAGCAGGGAAGAAAGAAGACGGUACCUGACUAAGAAGCCCCGGCUAACUACGUGCCAGCAGCCGCGGUAAUACGUAGGGGGCGAGCGUUAUCCGGAUUCACUGGGUGGAAAGGGAGCGUAGACGGCCGUGCAAGCCAGGAGUGAAAGCCCGGGGACCAACCCCGGGACUGCUCUUGGAACUGUGCGGGUAGAGUGCGGGAGGGGCAGGCGGAAUUCCUGGUGUAGCGGUGAAAUGCGUAGAUAUCAGGAGGAACACCGGCGGCGAAGGCGGCCUGCUGGACCGCGACUGACGUUGAGGCUCGAACGCGUGGGGAGCGAACAGGAUUAGAUACCCUUGUAGUC
Molecule: ribosomal RNA, 441 nt
Filed under: uncultured bacterium
Lineage: Bacteria
Description: partial 16S ribosomal RNA
Rfam family: Bacterial small subunit ribosomal RNA
Source: RNAcentral